GUAGGUGGCAAGCGUUGUCCGGAAUUAUUGGGCGUAAAGCGCGCGCAGGCGGUUCUUUAAGUCUGAUGUGAAAGCCCACGGGCUCAACCGUGGAGGGUCAUUGGAAACUGGGGAACUUGAGUACAGAAGAGGAAAGCGGAAUUCCACGUGUAGCGGUGAAAUGCGUAGAGAUGUGGAGGAACACCAGUGGCGAAGGCGGCUUUCUGGUCUGUAACUGACGCUGAGGCGCGAAAGCGUGGGGAGCAAACAGGAUUAGAUACCCUGGUAGUCCACGCCGUAAACGAUGAGUGCUAAGUGUUAGGGGGUUUCCGCCCCUUAGUGCUGCAGCUAACGCAUUAAGCACUCCGCCUGGGGAGUACGGCCGCAAAGGCUGA
This 374-nucleotide ribosomal RNA is filed under the name uncultured organism. Its description in RNAcentral is "partial 16S ribosomal RNA". It matches the Rfam family "Bacterial small subunit ribosomal RNA", at positions 527 to 897 of the family's 1533-position model. The record is from RNAcentral.